AAUAGAUACCCGGGUAGUCCAUGCCGUAAACGUUGGGAACUAGAUGUAGGGCCUGUUCCACGGGUUCUGUGUCGUAGCUAACGCAUUAAGUUCCCCGCCUGGGGAGUACGGCCGCAAGGCUAAAACUCAAAGGAAUUGACGGGGGCCCGCACAAGCGGCGGAGCAUGCGGAUUAAUUCGAUGCAACGCGAAGAACCUUACCAAGGCUUGACAUAUAAAAGAACACUGCAGAGAUGCAGGACUCUUUGGACACUUCUAUACAGGUGGUGCAUGGUUGUCGUCAGCUCGUGUCGUGAGAUGUUCGGUUAAGUCCGGCAACGAGCGCAACCCUCGUCCUAUGUUGCCAGCGGUUCGGCCGGGAACUCAUGGGAUACUGCCGUGGUCAACACGGAGGAAGGUGGGGAUGACGUCAAAUCAUCAUGCCCCUUAUGUCUUGGGCUUCACGCAUGCUACAAUGGCCGGUACAAAGAGCUGCGAUACCGCGAGGUGGAGCGAAUCUCAAAAAGCCGGUCUCAGUUCGGAUUGGGGU
Molecule: ribosomal RNA, 528 nt
Filed under: uncultured bacterium
Lineage: Bacteria
Description: bacterial SSU rRNA
Rfam family: Bacterial small subunit ribosomal RNA
Source: RNAcentral